This 32-nucleotide non-coding RNA is filed under the name Geobacter sulfurreducens PCA. Lineage: Bacteria; Pseudomonadati; Thermodesulfobacteriota; Desulfuromonadia; Geobacterales; Geobacteraceae. The record is from RNAcentral.
UAACCAUGCCCGGAUCACUAUCGAGUACACCG